AUAGGCGCACAACGGCUUCCUGGCGUGCGCUGUUAUCAGAUAAUGGAGCA
This 50-nucleotide non-coding RNA is filed under the name Palleronia abyssalis. RNAcentral's name for it is "SAM/SAH riboswitch aptamer". It matches the Rfam family "SAM/SAH riboswitch aptamer". The record is from Rfam by way of RNAcentral. Lineage: Bacteria; Pseudomonadati; Pseudomonadota; Alphaproteobacteria; Rhodobacterales; Roseobacteraceae.